Molecule: ribosomal RNA, 501 nt
Filed under: uncultured bacterium
Lineage: Bacteria
Description: bacterial SSU rRNA
Rfam family: Bacterial small subunit ribosomal RNA
Source: RNAcentral
GAUUGAACGCUGGCGGUAUGCUUUACACAUGCAAGUCGAACGGGCUAUGGGGCUUGCUCCAUAGUUAGUGGCGAACGGGUGAGUAAUAUAUCGGAACAUAUCCGGAAGUGGGGGAUAACGUAGCGAAAGUUACGCUAAUACCGCAUAUGCCCUGAGGGGGAAAGGGGGGGAUCGCAAGACCUCUCGCUUUCGGAGUGGCCGAUAUCGGAUUAGCUAGUAGGUGAGGUAAAGGCUCACCUAGGCGACGAUCCGUAGCUGGUCUGAGAGGACGACCAGCCACACUGGAACUGAGACACGGUCCAGACUCCUACGGGAGGCAGCAGUGGGGAAUUUUGGACAAUGGGCGCAAGCCUGAUCCAGCAAUGCCGCGUGCAGGAUGAAGGCCUUCGGGUUGUAAACUGCUUUUGUACGGAACGAAAAGACUCCUUCUAAUAAAGGGGGUUCAUGACGGUACCGUAAGAAUAAGCACCGGCUAACUACGUGCCAGCAGCCGCGGUAAUA